AGAGUGUUAGCAAAGGUUGUCCACGGCACGUGAACUUCAUUUUGGGGGUUGACUAUGUUUCAUCGCUGUGGCUGUGACACUUUGGUCGGAUAAUAAUGUCUUGUUCAGCGUUGGGUUGCACGGCAAGACACUCAAAGGAAUCGGCAGUUCAGUUUUUCCGACUUCCUUUUGAUGAGGCCAGGCUGAAGCAAUGGUUGGUGAACAUGAGGAGAGAGAGACCAGCAAAUGGAACCACGAAAAGUCACGUCUGCUGUUCACACUUUGAGGAAGAUCAGUUUUUUAGAGACAAGCAGGUAUCCACACUGAAAACUGAAUGAGCAGAGCCUCCAGAAGGAAGACGAGGUGUAUAGAGCCUCCAGAAGGAAGACCUGGUGUAUAGAGCCUCCAAAAAGGAAGACCUGUUGUGUAGAGCGGCG
Molecule: long non-coding RNA, 416 nt
Organism: Etheostoma spectabile (orangethroat darter)
Lineage: Eukaryota; Metazoa; Chordata; Actinopteri; Perciformes; Percidae
Exons: 4
Source: RefSeq, a predicted model, not a curated record